This 72-nucleotide transfer RNA is filed under the name Allobates aff. tapajos 1 AR-2020. RNAcentral describes it as "tRNA-Thr". It matches the Rfam family "tRNA". Rfam says of the family: Transfer RNA (tRNA) molecules are approximately 80 nucleotides in length. The record is from RNAcentral. Lineage: Eukaryota; Metazoa; Chordata; Amphibia; Anura; Aromobatidae.
GCCCUAAUAGCUUAAUUCCCAAAGCACUGGCCUUGUAAACCAGAGACUGAAAUUUAAAACCUUCUUAGGGCU